AUGGCGUCUCGCGCAGCCGUGGUGGUCGUGGCCGUGACCGCGCUGCUGUUCGCGGCGGCGUCCGCGCAGGAGAUGGACGCGAGCAUGCCGCCGGCCCCGGCCCCGGUCACGGGCGCGGCCGCCGGGGCCGCCGCGUCGGCGCUGGCCGUGGCCUGCUCCGCCGUGCUGUCCCUGCUCGUCGCACAGUAG
Molecule: ribosomal RNA, 189 nt
Filed under: Triticum aestivum (bread wheat)
Lineage: Eukaryota; Viridiplantae; Streptophyta; Magnoliopsida; Poales; Poaceae
Description: partial small subunit ribosomal RNA
Source: RNAcentral